Long non-coding RNA from Arachis duranensis, 1454 nucleotides. RefSeq lists it as uncharacterized. NCBI's taxonomy places the organism in Eukaryota, Viridiplantae, Streptophyta, Magnoliopsida, Fabales, Fabaceae. The transcript has 3 exons. The record is from RefSeq and is a predicted model, not a curated record.
GCAGCAGCUGCUAUUAGAAUGAAACAAAAAGAAAGAAAGGAUUAGGAGGAAAACGGGGAAGAAGGAGAGGGAAGAGAGGAGGAACGGCGCCAAUGAGGAGCCCACUAUCACCGCUGCCGCGUCAUCGUUGGGUCUUGGAGGGAGGCCAUGCCUUUGAGCUGUCACCGUCGAUCCACCACAAGCCGCCAUCGCAAGUCAGAUUCAAGGUGAGAGAGAGAAAGCCGCGAGGAAGAAGGGAAGGAGAGAGAAAGGACCGUGCCGGCAUCGUGCCUCACCGCCGCACCGCGUCCCACUAUCGCCGCCAUCACGUCUGGUCACUGUCGAGCUCGCCAUUGAAGACGCCGCCUGUGCUGCCAACUCCACCGCGUUCUACACCGUCGAGGGUCCCAGUCCUGUUAGAUCUAUCAUCGUCAUGCCUUUGUGCCGUUGAAAGAGCCUCCGUUUGCUCCGCCAAUCUGUCACCAUGCUGCUGGGCUAUCGCCGCUACCACCAAAAGCCUGCAUCAUUGUUGUCCUCAUUGUGGAGUCAGUUGUCGUCACCUAUGGUGGAGCCAGAGAGAGAGAGAGAUCUCGAGGGCAGAAGAGAGAGAGGGGAGACCCGAACCCAGCCAUCGCCAGGGAGCUCCACACCGCCUCUGCUGCCCGAAACCCCGCCGCUGUCGCCGAUCUGUAGGCGCUGUCGCCGUUGAGCUCUUCCACCAUCCUUUGGGUCACUGGGAAUGUGACUGUGAUCAUCGGAACCACCAUCAGAGUUAUAGCUAUUUCAGUUCAGCCGUUCUUCCCUGUUUGGAUAAGCGUUUCAUUCCGGAACCUUAGAAUCGGUAUUUUUGUUUUAAGUUGUUUAAGGAUUGAGGUCUUGGUGUCAUAGGAUCGAGUUACGGGUCUUGAUUGUUGAGUUCUAUGAAUGUUGCACGCGACAUUAAGCUGCUGCGUCGUCACCGGAGCUGCCACUGCUCUGUUCUCGGGCUUAUUCGAUUAUGUUUUGGUUCUUGCGUGCCGUUGCUGAGGUUGCAGCUGCCGCCGUUGCUGGCCAAGAAGAAAAGGAAUUCUCUGACGCUUCUGGUUAGUGGUUUCGCUUCAUGAGGGACUUUUCAUAUUUUUCUAAUUAGAGGACUUGCAAGAGAUAGUAAAAUCCAAAAAGAUAGUGUUCUGGAGGCUGAAGUUGAGAUCUUCAAGAAGAUUUAAGAUCCAAAUGAGUGAUUUGUAUAUUUAUCCAAAAGUUUUAUACAUUUUGGACUUUAAUUUUAUGUGUUAUUUUGAACUUUGCACGAAGCCUUUAUGUUAAAAGCUUUUUAUUUUGAUCCUUGGUUAGGGAAUCAAUUUUGCUUUUUUAUUGGUGCCUAUUAUAUCAAGCGGGUGUACCUUUCACGGGUUUCCUAUUAUAUUUUAUUUAAUUUUCAAUAUUUUUAUGUGUAUAUUUUCUUUGUUACAAUUUUGGAUUUCUAUGUUUUUCAU